This 387-nucleotide long non-coding RNA is filed under the name Panax ginseng (ginseng). RNAcentral describes it as "long non-coding RNA (PGIN_LNC009068)". The record is from RNAcentral. Lineage: Eukaryota; Viridiplantae; Streptophyta; Magnoliopsida; Apiales; Araliaceae.
UUCUCUAUUGUACUUAGAGUCUUCCCAUGAUGGACAUCCAGAUGGCAUGAUGCUCUUCUUUCUCUCGGCAGUUCAGAACACUCUUCAUGUAGUAGAACUCUCACUUCUACAUAGUAGAACUCACACUUCUACUUCUUGCUUGAUCUGACUUUUGAGUGUUCUUGGUGGAUCGUAGAGUGAGCCUCUGGACUCACUAUCACUUGAUUCGAUCAGUCCACCUUCUCUCCAAAACUCACAACUCCAGCAACCUUUGAUCUUUGAAACUCUUCUACAUUUAUACAUCUUCCCAAUUCUUCCGUUGGAAAGUAGCCGUUGGAAGCUAUUCAAAUGUCUUCGCAGAUCUCGAGUUGCUUGAGGUAGACUGCUUGAUGUGACAUGUCAUACUUU